UGCAAGUCGAACGGAAGGGCCCUUCGGGGGUACUCGAGUGGCGAACGGGUGAGUAACACGUGGGUAAUCUGCCCUGCACUUCGGGAUAAGCCUGGGAAACUGGGUCUAAUACCGGAUAGGACCACUUGGCGCAUGCCUUGUGGUGGAAAGCUUUUGCGGUGUGGGAUGGGCCCGCGGCCUAUCAGCUUGUUGGUGGGGUGACGGCCUACCAAGGCGACGACGGGUAGCCGGCCUGAGAGGGUGUCCGGCCACACUGGGACUGAGAUACGGCCCAGACUCCUACGGGAGGCAGCAGUGGGGAAUAUUGCACAAUGGGCGCAAGCCUGAUGCAGCGACGCCGCGUGGGGGAUGACGGCCUUCGGGUUGUAAACCUCUUUCAGCAGGGACGAAGCGCAAGUGACGGUACCUGCAGAAGAAGCACCGGCCAACUACGUGCCAGCAGCCGCGGUAAUACGUAGGGUGCGAGCGUUGUCCGGAAUUACUGGGCGUAAAGAGCUCGUAGGUGGUUUGUCGCGUUGUUCGUGAAAACCGGGGGCUUAACCCUCGGCGUGCGGGCGAUACGGGCAGACUGGAGUACUGCAGGGGAGACUGGAAUUCCUGGUGUAGCGGUGGAAUGCGCAGAUAUCAGGAGGAACACCGGUGGCGAAGGCGGGUCUCUGGGCAGUAACUGACGCUGAGGAGCGAAAGCGUGGGGAGCGAACAGGAUUAGAUACCCUGGUAGUCCACGCCGUAAACGGUGGGUACUAGGUGUGGGUUUCCUUCCUUGGAAUCCGUGCCGUAGCUAACGCAUUAAGUACCCCGCCUGGGGAGUACGGCCGCAAGGCUAAAACUCAAAGGAAUUGACGGGGGCCCGCACAAGCGGCGGAGCAUGUGGAUUAAUUCGAUGCAACGCGAGAACCUUACCUGGGUUUGACAUGCACAGGACGCCGGCAGAGAUGUCGGUUCCCUUGUGGCCUGUGUGCAGGUGGUGCAUGGCUGUCGUCAGCUCGUGUCGUGAGAUGUUGGGUUAAGUCCCGCAACGAGCGCAACCCUUGUCUCAUGUUGCCAGCGGGUAAUGCCGGGGACUCGUGAGAGACUGCCGGGGUCAACUCGGAGGAAGGUGGGGAUGACGUCAAGUCAUCAUGCCCCUUAUGUCCAGGGCUUCACACAUGCUACAAUGGCCGGUACAAAGGGCUGCGAUGCCGCAAGGUUAAGCGAAUCCUUUUAAAGCCGGUCUCAGUUCGGAUCGGGGUCUGCAACUCGACCCCGUGAAGUCGGAGUCGCUAGUAAUCGCAGAUCAGCAACGCUGCGGUGAAUACGUUCCCGGGCCUUGUACACACCGCCCGUCACGUCAUGAAAGUCGGUAACACCCGAAGCCAGUGGCCUAACCUUUUGGAGGGAGCUGUCGAAGGUGGGAUCGGCGAUUGGGACGAAGUCG
RNAcentral lists this ribosomal RNA (1417 nucleotides) under Mycobacterium sp. AFPC-000172. Its description in RNAcentral is "bacterial SSU rRNA". It matches the Rfam family "Bacterial small subunit ribosomal RNA". The record is from RNAcentral. Lineage: Bacteria; Bacillati; Actinomycetota; Actinomycetes; Mycobacteriales; Mycobacteriaceae.